AACGAACGCUGGCGGCAUGCCUAACACAUGCAAGUCGAACGAGACCUUCGGGUCUAGUGGCGCACGGGUGCGUAACGCGUGGGAAUCUGCCCUUUGCUUCGGAAUAACAGUUAGAAAUGACUGCUAAUACCGGAUGAUGUCUUCGGACCAAAGAUUUAUCGGCAAAGGAUGAGCCCGCGUAGGAUUAGGUAGUUGGUGGGGUAAAGGCCUACCAAGCCGACGAUCCUUAGCUGGUCUGAGAGGAUGAUCAGCCACACUGGGACUGAGACACGGCCCAGACUCCUACGGGAGGCAGCAGUGGGGAAUAUUGGACAAUGGGCGAAAGCCUGAUCCAGCAAUGCCGCGUGAGUGAUGAAGGCUCGGUCGUAAGACUCUUUACUCGGUACGGAUAAUAGACGGUACCGACGAGGAAUAAGACCCGGCCGUAACUACCGUUACGCCACG
Molecule: ribosomal RNA, 444 nt
Filed under: uncultured bacterium
Lineage: Bacteria
Description: bacterial SSU rRNA
Rfam family: Bacterial small subunit ribosomal RNA
Source: RNAcentral